UGCCAGCCGCCGCGGUAAUACGGAGGGUGCAAGCGUUGUUCGGAAUUAUUGGGCGUAAAGCGCGUGUAGGCGGUUCGUUAAGUCUGAUGUGAAAGCCCGGGGCUCAACCCCGGAAGUGCAUUGGAAACUGGCAGUCUUGAGUAUGGGAGAGGUGAGUGGAAUUCCGAGUGUAGAGGUGAAAUUCGUAGAUAUUCGGAGGAACACCAGUGGCGAAGGCGGCUCACUGGCUCGAUACUGACGCUGAGGUGCGAAAGUGUGGGGAGCAAACAGGAUUAGAUA
RNAcentral lists this ribosomal RNA (279 nucleotides) under uncultured bacterium. RNAcentral's name for it is "partial 16S ribosomal RNA". It matches the Rfam family "Bacterial small subunit ribosomal RNA", at positions 506 to 784 of the family's 1533-position model. The record is from RNAcentral.